UGUGGUGCAUAUCAAUAAGCGGAGGAAAAGAAACCAACAGGGAUUGCCCCAGUAACGGCGAGUGAAGCGGCAACAGCUCAAAUUUGAAAUCUGGCUCUCGGGCCCGAGUUGUAAUUUGUAGAGGAUGCUUUUGGUGAGGUGCCUUCCGAGUUCCCUGGAACGGGACGCCAUAGAGGGUGAGAGCCCCGUCUGGUUGGACGCCGAACCUCUGUAAAGCUCCUUCGACGAGUCGAGUAGUUUGGGAAUGCUGCUCUAAAUGGGAGGUAUAUGUCUUCUAAAGCUAAAUACCGGCCAGAGACCGAUAGCGCACAAGUAGAGUGAUCGAAAGAUGAAAAGAACUUUGAAAAGAGAGUUAAACAGUACGUGAAAUUGUUGAAAGGGAAGCGCUUGUGACCAGACUUGGGCUUGGUUGAUCAUCCGGGGUUCUCCCCGGUGCACUCUUCCGGCCCAGGCCAGCAUCAGUUCGCCCUGGGGGACAAAGGCAUCGGGAACGUGGCUCUCUCCGGGGAGUGUUAUAGCCCGUUGCGUAAUACCCUGUGGCGGACUGAGGUUCGCGCAUUCGCAAGGAUGCGGCGUAAGUCUCAAC
RNAcentral lists this ribosomal RNA (586 nucleotides) under Fusarium sp. Kyoto-09. RNAcentral describes it as "LSU rRNA". It matches the Rfam family "Eukaryotic large subunit ribosomal RNA", at positions 33 to 644 of the family's 3401-position model. The record is from RNAcentral. Lineage: Eukaryota; Fungi; Ascomycota; Sordariomycetes; Hypocreales; Nectriaceae.